GGAAUUUAUGGAACAAGGGGCGGGGCCGGGGUGCUACAGGGUUACAGCUGGCAGCCCGGGCCUCCACUCUCAAGUGACAGAACUGCACGCUUGAGAACUGCCUGCUGCUCAAGACAGCUGGAGUAGCGUGACUGGAACGUGGCGGCACGUGCUCGCACACUCCCAAGUCUCGCGAGGACUAACUUGAGCCGAACGUUGGUCUCGCGCUUGCGCAUAGUGGGCCUCGUGCCUUCCCGCGUUUUUCUAGACUCUUCCACCGCUGAAAAGGAAGUGGCAGACUCCUGUGAAGGAGCUGGAUCAGCAUGCCUACCUUAAAGUCCUCGGGGUCUUCCCCGCAGCUACAUAGCUCCUCCUCCCCCAGUAGUGUGUCCUCUUCACUACAAAGAACUGUGGGAGUUGCGCAGAGGGCCUUGUCGGCUUCUUCUAGUUCUUCUAUCAAUCUACCCUGUGAAGAUAAGGACUCAGAGCUGGCUUCCAAGGGGGCUGGUCCCUCUUUGUCGGGUGAUGAAGGCAGUGACUUUGAAGACAGCCUGAGGCGGAAUGUGAAGAAGAGAAGAGCAAAACGACCACACAAAACAACCCCAGUGGCAAAACAUCCAAAGAAGGGGUCCCAAAUUAUAUGUCGAAAGGUCCAGAAAAAGUCAGAGCUACCAGCCUGUGAUCUCUUUGAUGCCGUGAAAGCUGCCAAAAGUGAUAUGCAGUCUUUGGUGGAUGAGUGGCUGGAAAGCUACAAGCAAGAUGAGGAUACAGGAUUCCUGGAGCUCGUUAACUUUUUCAUUCGAUCUUGUGGAUGUAAAGGCACUGUGACCCCUGAGAUGUUCAAGAAGAUGUCCAACUCAGAGGUCAUCCGGCACCUGACAGAACAGUUUAAUGAGGACUCAGGGGACUAUCCCCUGACAGCAUCAGGUCCAUCCUGGAAGAAGUUCCAGGGCAGCUUUUGUGAGUUUGUGAAAAUGUUGGUCUGUCAGUGCCAGUACAGCCUCCUCUAUGAUGGCUUUCCUAUGGAUAACCUCAUCUCUCUGCUCACUGGCCUUUCGGAUUCCCAAGUCCGUGCCUUCCGUCACACUAGCACCCUGGCUGCCAUGAAGCUGAUGACUUCCCUGGUAAGAGUUGCCCUCCAAUUGAGUCUGCACAAAGACAACAGUCAGCGUCAGUAUGAGUCUGAAAGAAACAAAGGACCAGAGCAGAGAUCACCUGAGAGGCUGGAGAGCCUCCUGGAGAAACGCAAAGAGCUCCAAGAGCAUCAAGAGGAGAUUGAGGGGAUGAUGAACGCCAUCUUCAGGGGUGUCUUUGUCCAUCGGUACAGGGACAUCCUUCCUGAGAUCCGUGCUAUCUGCAUUGAGGAGAUUGGAUGUUGGAUGCAAAGCUAUGGUACCUCUUUCCUUACUGACAGCUAUUUAAAAUAUAUUGGCUGGACCCUGCAUGAUAAGCACCGGGAUGUCCGUUUGACAUGCCUGAAAGCUCUGCAAGGGCUGUACAGCAACCGGGAGCUGACUGCUCGCCUGGAGCUGUUCACCAGCCGCUUCAAGGAUCGGAUGGUUUCCAUGGUCAUGGACAGAGAGUACGAUGUGGCAGUGGAGGCCGUCAGGUUGCUGAUCUUGAUCCUGAAGAACAUGGAAGGUGUGCUGACCAGUGCAGACUGUGAGAGCGUCUACCCUGUCGUGUAUGCUUCUCAUCGCCCCCUAGCUGCUGCUGCAGGGGAGUUUCUGUACUGGAAGCUGUUCUACCCUGAGUUCGAGAUGAGAGCAGUUUUUGGCAGAGAGCGACACCGAAGUCCACAUGCCCAGAGGACUUUCUUCCACCUUCUGCUGUACUUUUUUAUGGAGGUUGAGCUCCAUGACCAUGCCACUUACUUAGUAGACAGCCUGUGGGAUUGUGCAGGGCCUCAUCUCAAGGACUGGGAGAGUCUCACAAGCCUGCUGCUGGAGAAGGACCAGAACCUGAGUGACGUGCAGGAGAACACGCUGAUAGAAAUCCUUGUGUCCAGUGCCCGACAAGCUGUGGAGGGUCACCCGCCUGUGGGGCGGGUCAGUGGGAGGAAGGGCCUAUCUGCUAAAGAACGCAAGGUCCAAGCUGAUGACAAGGUGAAACUGACAGAGCAUCUCAUUCCCCUGUUGCCUCAGCUCCUGGCCAAGUUCUCAGCUGAUGCAGAGAAGGUUGCUCCCCUGCUCCAGCUCCUCAACUACUUUGACCUCAGCAUCUACUGCACUGGGCGCUUGGAGAAGCACCUGGAGCUGCUCUUGCAGCAGCUCCAAGAAGUGGUGGUGAAGCACACAGAGCCCCCCGUGCUUGAGGCUGGUGCACAAGCCCUCUAUGUGCUCUGUAAGCCUGAGUUCACAUUCUUCAGCCGGGUUGACUUUGCCCGCAGCCAACUAGUGGACUUGUUGACCGACCGCUUCCAGCAGGAGCUUGAGGAGCUGCUACAGUCGUCUUUCCUAGAUGAGGAUGAGGUAUACAGUCUGACAGCUACUCUGAAACGUCUCUCUGCCUUUUACAAUGCUCAUGAUCUGACUCGCUGGGAGCUCUAUGACCCAUGCUACCGUCUCCUCCGGAAGGCUGUGGACACGGGAGAGGUUCCACACCAGGUGAUCCUGCCAGCCUUGACUCUUGUCUAUUUUUCCAUCCUCUGGACACUAACCCACAUUUCUGGGUCAGGUGGUUCCCAGAAGCAGUUGUUGAGUCUGAAGGGCAAAAUGGUGGCCGUCUGUGAACUCUGCCAGAACUACCUCUCUGGUGUGGAUCUGCAGAUCCAGGAGCAGGCUUUUGUUUUAUUGACUGAUCUGCUUCUCAUCUUCAGCCCUCAGAUGAUUGCAGGGGGACGAGAUUUCCUUAGGCCCCUCAUCUUUUUUCCAGAAGCUACUCUCCAAUCUGAAUUAGCCAGCUUCCUCAUGGACCACGUCUUCCUUCAGUCUGGAGACCUGGGCAGUGGUCAGACCCAGGAUGAUCACAAGCAGAUAGAGCAGCUGAACCAGCGGCGCCGCCUCCUUGCUGGGUUCUGCAAGCUGUUGCUCUAUGGGGUACUGGAGCUGGAUGCAGCCUCGGAUGUUUUCAAACACUACAACAAGUUUUAUAAUGACUAUGGUGACAUUAUCAAGGAAACAUUGACCAGAGCAAGGCAGAUUGACCGAAGCCAUUGUUCCCGAAUCCUGCUACUGAGUCUCAAGCAGCUAUACACAGAACUGCUUCAGGAGCAGGGACCCCAAGGUCUAAGUGAAUUGCCAGCCUUCAUGGAGAUGAGGGACCUGGCCCGGAAGUUUGCCUUGAGCUUUGGACCCCAGCAACUGCAGAACCGUGACAUUGUGAUGAAGCUCCACAGUGAUUUUGCCCCACUAAGGGAAGGCAUCAAGUUCUCCUUGUCCGAGCUUCCUCCAUCUGGCUCCUCUGAUGAGCCCCCAAAUCUGGCAUUCCUGGAGCUCCUUUCAGAGUUCUCUCCCCGCCUUUUCCAUCAAGACAAGCAGCUGCUACUGUCCUACCUGGAAAAGUGUCUGCAGCGUGUCCCCCAAACACCUGGCUGUCCCUGGGGUCCGGUCACUACUUACCGCCACUCCCUCAGCCCUGUAGAGAGCACAGCAGAGGCCAACCCUCAGGGCCACUCCCGCUCCAAGAAGAGGCGUAUUGAAGGCCCCAGCAAGCAUCAGAGAGCAGACCAAGAAGAAAGCUUGCAGCUCAACAGUGUCCCACCCACACCUACCCUCACUUCCACUGCUGUGAAGAGCAAGCAGCCCCUGGGGGUGCUGGGAGAGACUGAAGAAGAAGAUGGCUUGGAAUCAGAGUUCAGCCAAAGCCGGUUCCUCUCAGGUACCCAGAGGCCGAGGUUCUCAGGUGCACAGUAUUUUCAGACUUCAUCCAGCCCUUCAGGGCCUGGUCUGGACAACAAGCUGACCCGACUCAGCCUUAUGGAAGAGGAUGAAGAAGAGCUAGAAAGUCUGGAUGAAUCAAGUGAAGAAUGGCAGAAUACAAAGAAGCAACCUGGUAGCCACUCUUCCCUCAGUGAACAUGGACUGGACCUACUGGAUUCCACAGAGCUGAACAUAGAGGAUUUCUGACCAGACCCUGUGCCCCUCCCUUCACCAUUCCCCACCUCAAGGACAUGACCACUUGGAAAAGACAAAGAGGAGGAAGAAGCAAAAUGAAGAGUUUCUUGAGGCCUCAGCUCUUGCCUCUGAGGAGGAGAGGUGGCUUUGCCUUUCUCACCAAGCCUCCUCUCCAGAGGUGUAGAGAAGCUGAGAGUCCCCGUCCUCCCUGAUGUGCUGUGGUGCUGAUCUCUGUUUCUGCUGUGAUUGGAGUGAGGUUCUCACUGUGGUCUUCCAGGCUGGAACAGCCAUCCAACCUGUUGUGCAAAAAGAAGGAUGAGUUUAGUGACCAGGCCAUUCACUCAGCCAGAACCAUUUCUUCGUCCUUCCACCUCCUACACUGUUCCCAUCUUCUUCCCCAGUCCUACCC
This is an RNA transcript of Heterocephalus glaber (naked mole-rat), 4443 nucleotides long. It is a transcript of the gene named STAG3 cohesin complex component, with no coding region annotated. The record is from RefSeq and is a predicted model, not a curated record. NCBI's taxonomy places the organism in Eukaryota, Metazoa, Chordata, Mammalia, Rodentia, Bathyergidae.